Molecule: ribosomal RNA, 253 nt
Filed under: uncultured bacterium
Lineage: Bacteria
Description: partial 16S ribosomal RNA
Rfam family: Bacterial small subunit ribosomal RNA
Source: RNAcentral
UACGUAGGGUGCAAGCGUUGUCCGGAAUUAUUGGGCGUAAAGAGCUCGUAGGCGGUCUGUCGCGUCGGCUGUGAAAACUCGGGGCUCAACCCCGAGCCUGCAGUCGAUACGGGCAGACUAGAGUCCGGCAGGGGAGACUGGAAUUCCUGGUGUAGCGGUGAAAUGCGCAGAUAUCAGGAGGAACACCAGCGGCGAAGGCGGCAUCCUGGCCCUGUACUGACGCUGAGGCGCGAUAGCGUGGGGAGCAAACGGG